RNAcentral lists this unclassified non-coding RNA (335 nucleotides) under Hevea brasiliensis (rubber tree). Lineage: Eukaryota; Viridiplantae; Streptophyta; Magnoliopsida; Malpighiales; Euphorbiaceae. The record is from RNAcentral.
UUAGAGAUUCCAAAUGGUGAAAAAUUGGCUGAGGCACUUCACUCCAGGGGUGUUCCCUAUGUUAUAUAUUGGAAAAAUACACUUUCAUGUUAUGCAGCUUCACACUUUCGUCAAGCUCUAUUGUCAGUGGUACAAAGUUCUUGCAGCCAUACGUGUGAUGCAUUCCAACUUGCUCAUGCAUCCUUUAGGCUCUACUGUGUCAGAAACAACAGUGUCUUAACUUCCAAUGGCCAAAAAGUUAGUGGUAAACCUGGACCACGCUUACUUGGGGAUCCACCAAAGAUUGACAUUACUCUUCCUGAGGCGGAUGUUCAGGAUGAAGAAAGUUCUUCUGG